UAUAGGAAGCUAGGAAAUUGGGAAACAGACCAUUCCUGGUGAAAGGCUGGCCACUUCCUCCUUUCCUUAAGCGUGACAAGGUGCACCACUACUCAGCCGAUAACAAAGCAAGCAGAUCCAGCAGCUUGGGGGAUGGGGCACCUGACCAGGAGGCCGCUGAGAGUGGAAAUUUCCAUCAUGUGAUAGGAGGCAGCAUCCCCAGUGUCGCGUUUCCUGUGGACCCUCCCUUCCAGCCCAGCCACCAAUCAUCAGGCGGCAACCUGAGAUGUCAACAAAAGCAUCCUCCCAGGUGGGGCUGAGUUGUCCAGCUGUCCCUCAAGAGUGAAGCCUGGGACCUGCCAGCCCCUGCUCCAGUUUUCUUGGGUUCAUGAUAACAGAGAAGAUCUUGGUCUAUUGUAUAUCCUUAGAGUUUUAGGAGAGCUCCAAGCAAUGUCCAGGUGGUAUGAGAUAACUGGCAAGCCAUUUGUCUUCCGUGAUACAAUCAAAAACUUGAGCCUUUGAUGACUACGCUGGAUCUACCCAACAAUCCUCAAGGGUUUCUUUAAAACUUGUGUUUGAAAGAAUGUGAAGCAACCCUAACCAGCAACAUGAAUAUCUCUGCAAAACCGCACUGUGAAACACAUUUUGAUUUACCAUCCGAACAUUUGCUGGCUCUGGAGCAGACAACUUGAGUCCUGAUUUCAGAGCUACCACCUACCAACUGUGUGGCCUUCACCAAUGGGCUUAAGUUCUAAGUGACUCAGUUUCUCAAUGAGAAAAAUGUAGAGCAUUCCUUAAUACAUUGUUUUCCUUACUUAUUUUCAGACAGUACUACAAACUCAAAUAGUGCUGGAGGAAAAUAAAAUGUUUGCAACUGAGAAAAAAGGGUGACAGAAGAGUUAGAAUUUCUACCAUUUUGACAAAGUUGAAUUGAUUGAAGCUUUCCACUCUAGAAUUAUAUUAACACACUGGUCCCAGGAAUAAUUAUUGGUUUGGUUAUGGAUGCUUCUGCUUUAAGUCUCUAUUAAAAAUAUUCCCAAAAUACAUUCCUUUGAACUAAAGCUAAUACUUGAAAACAGAGUUCCAUGCGGCUAUAAGUUUGGAAAACAUUGUGCUAAAAAUUAUUGUGGGAUUCCUCUGGGGUUUGAAUCAGUCUCUUAAAGGUGGAUGGAGCAUGUAGUAUCUCUCUAUCACCAUGAACCCUUUUUGGAGAAACAUUUCUAAGGUU
Molecule: non-coding RNA, 1207 nt
Organism: Delphinapterus leucas (beluga whale)
Lineage: Eukaryota; Metazoa; Chordata; Mammalia; Artiodactyla; Monodontidae
Source: RefSeq, a predicted model, not a curated record